AGGAGCCAUCCCAUCAAGUUAGUAAGUAGGGUAAGGGCCUACUUAGACACAGACGGGUACGGGGAAUUAUCGUUUGAUUCCGGAGAGGGAGCCUGAGAGAUGGCUACCAGGUCCAAGGACAGCAGCAGGCGCGAAAAUUACCGAAGCCUUUAUUGAGGGCGGUAGUAAGGAGACGUAAGAAUGAUUUCGGAGUAAAAAACUGAAUAAAUACAGGAGGACAAGACUGGUGCCAGCACCCGCGGUAAUACCAGCUCCUGGAGUGUCUAUGAUGAUUGCUGCAGUUAAAGAGUUCGUAGUCGAGACUGAUUAAUAUGCGUGACAGACCUUUAAUCAAGAAGGGUAUAGCGAAUAUAGGCAGUAGAAUAAGGAGCGUUUAGGGGCCAGGUUAUUAAGCGACGAGGGGUGAAAUCUGGUGACUCGCUUAGGAGCGACAGAGGCGAAAGCGCUGGUCAGGAGCGAAUCCGAUGAUAAAGGACGUAGGCUAGAGGAUCGAAGACGAUUAGAGACCGUUGUAGUUCUAGCAGUAAACGAUGCCGAUACCGUUUUGCUAAUAAAUAUAUAAGCGAGAUGGAAAAGAAAUUUAGUAGGGCCCUGGGGAGAGUACACGCGCAAGCGAGAAAUUUAAAGGAAAUUGACGGAAGAACACCACAAGGAGUGGAGUGUGCGGCUUAAUUUGACUCAACACGGGACAGCUUACCAGGCCCGACGAUCGCAAGAGUGUGGUACACGAUAGAUCGGAGAGUGGUGCAUGGCCGUUAACGACGAUUGGGGUGACCUUUGGGUUAAGUCCGAGAAGUAGUGAGACCCCUGCAAAGGACAGGUGUUUAAAGCACAGGAAGGAAGGGUCAAGAACAGGUCAGUGAUGCCCUUAGAUGGUCUGGGCUGCACGCGCACUACAGUGGUCACAGAAAAGAAAAAAUAGAAAUAAAGGUGAUCGAGAGGAAAUGAGCUCUGUAAGGGGCUCAGGAACGAGGAAUUGCUAGUAAUCGCGGGCUCAUUAAGACGCGA
This 1008-nucleotide ribosomal RNA is filed under the name Cambaraspora faxoni. RNAcentral describes it as "Cambaraspora sp. CEStratton-2023a partial small subunit ribosomal RNA". It matches the Rfam family "Microsporidia small subunit ribosomal RNA", at positions 163 to 1164 of the family's 1311-position model. The record is from RNAcentral. Lineage: Eukaryota; Fungi; Microsporidia; Glugeidae.